This 600-nucleotide unclassified non-coding RNA is filed under the name Hevea brasiliensis (rubber tree). The record is from RNAcentral. Lineage: Eukaryota; Viridiplantae; Streptophyta; Magnoliopsida; Malpighiales; Euphorbiaceae.
GCAUAACUAAAAGUGUAUGGUCUAGCAUCUAUGCCUAGGAGCUCUUCAUCAUUAUAGGUGCUUGUACUUUUUCUUCUUUGAAUGACAAAGAAAACCACCAAAACAAGAAGAAAGCUUGCUGCUCCAACCCCAACAACAAUCCCCACAAUUAGACCGGUCCUAUUCUUUUUACUGGUUGGAGGGUUGUUACUGACAGUUGGUAUGAAAUCUGGCUUAGCGCUGAUUGCUGAAAUAGAAGGUCCAUAUGUACCUUGUAAAGGAAUGCAGCAAGUUCCCUUUCCAGCCCAAAACAAAUGUAUUUCAAGGUAAUUUUCAGAUACCUGGGCCGUGAAGUCCUUUUCAACAGCUCGUUUAGAGACUCCACCUGCCUCCUUUCUUAUGUCAAAAUCCUUUAAAACACGAUUCCCCUGGACAUAAACAUCAAAAACACGCCUCCCAAGACUCCUCCACGUGUUACCAUCCUCAAUUGCAGUUUCUGCAAACUGAAGCUUGACAGUGUAAUUGCCAUUCUCAAGCCCCAAACCAUAGUAUCUNNGAUGAAGCAGAGACCCUUGCUGUCUGGAAUAACUCAGAAUCUAAAGUAUUUGUGAAUUGAGAUGA